GACGAACGCUGGCGGCGUGCUUAACACAUGCAAGUCGAACGGAAAGGCCCUGCUUGCAGGGUACUCGAGUGGCGAACGGGUGAGUAACACGUGGGUGAUCUGCCCUGCACUUCGGGAUAAGCCUGGGAAACUGGGUCUAAUACCGGAUAGGAGCCAUUUUUAGUGUGAUGGUUGGAAAGUUUUUUCGGUGUAGGAUGAGCUCGCGGCCUAUCAGCUUGUUGGUGGGGUAAUGGCCUACCAAGGCGGCGACGGGUAGCCGGCCUGAGAGGGUGGACGACCACAUUGGGACUGAGAUACGGCCCAGACUCCUACGGGAGGCAGCAGUGGGGAAUAUUGCACAAUGGGCGCAAGCCUGAUGCAGCGACGCCGCGUGGGGGAUGACGGCCUUCGGGUUGUAAACUCCUUUCGCUAGGGACGAAGCUUUUGUGACGGUACCUAGAUAAGAAGCACCGGCUAACUACGUG
Molecule: ribosomal RNA, 464 nt
Filed under: uncultured bacterium
Lineage: Bacteria
Description: partial 16S ribosomal RNA
Rfam family: Bacterial small subunit ribosomal RNA
Source: RNAcentral